AGCCGUAGCCAUAUCACUCUACAGCCCAAGACUGGUUGCCCACUGAAGCUAAGCAGGGUUGAGCCUGGUCAGUACCUGGAAUGGGAGACCUCCUGGGAAAACUAGGUUGCUGUUGGAA
This 118-nucleotide ribosomal RNA is filed under the name Sinocyclocheilus rhinocerous. The record is from RNAcentral. Lineage: Eukaryota; Metazoa; Chordata; Actinopteri; Cypriniformes; Cyprinidae.